This 253-nucleotide ribosomal RNA is filed under the name uncultured bacterium. RNAcentral's name for it is "partial 16S ribosomal RNA". It matches the Rfam family "Bacterial small subunit ribosomal RNA", at positions 524 to 776 of the family's 1533-position model. The record is from RNAcentral.
UACGAAGGGGGCUAGCGUUGUUCGGAAUUACUGGGCGUAAAGGGCGCGUAGGCUGUGCUGUAAGUCAGGCGUGAAAUCCCCGGGCUCAACCUGGGAAUUGCGCAUGAUACUGCGGCGCUUGAAGACGGGAGAGGAUGGCGGAAUUCCCAGUGUAGAGGUGAAAUUCGUAGAUAUUGGGAAGAACACCGGUGGCGAAGGCGGCCAUCUGGCCCGUAAUUGACGCUGAGGCGCGAAAGCGUGGGGAGCAAACAGG